RNAcentral lists this ribosomal RNA (500 nucleotides) under uncultured bacterium. RNAcentral describes it as "partial 16S ribosomal RNA". It matches the Rfam family "Bacterial small subunit ribosomal RNA", at positions 28 to 523 of the family's 1533-position model. The record is from RNAcentral.
GUUGAACGCUGGCGGCAUGCCUUACACAUGCAAGUCGAACGGCAGCACGGGAGCAAUCCUGGUGGCGAGUGGCGAACGGGUGAGUAAAGUAUCGGAACGUGCCCAGUCGUGGGGGAUAACGUAGCGAAAGUUACGCUAAUACCGCAUACGAUCUAUGGAUGAAAGCGGGGGAUCGCAAGACCUCGCGCGAUUGGAGCGGCCGAUAUCAGAUUAGGUAGUUGGUGGGGUAAAGGCUCACCAAGCCGACGAUCUGUAGCUGGUCUGAGAGGACGACCAGCCACACUGGGACUGCGAAACGGCCCAGACUCCUACGGGAGGCAGCAGUGGGGAAUUUUGGACAAUGGGCGAAAGCCUGAUCCAGCCAUGCCGCGUGCAGGAUGAAGGCCUUCGGGUUGUAAACUGCUUUUGUACGGAACGAAAAGGUUUGGCCUAAUAAGCUGAGCUCAUGACGGUACCGUAAGAAUAAGCACCGGCUAACUACGUGCCAGCCGCCGCCGUAA